AACACCUCUAAAGAACAUACAAUAAAAACACUCACCUAUUUUCGAGAAAAUUAAAUGGAUAGGACGACGCAAACCAUCCAUCAACCGGGGAGUGACUCACAAAAGAAGGUUGUUUUACCCGACUGAUCAUGAAGAACGCCUCUCCUAAGUAAUGCGUUCCUUGGUGCGCAUUCUCUCCCCAAGGAUUAUCCCGACCUACAUUCCAUAACACUCAGUUAUAAAGUAUUUGGAACUUGAUGCACCAAUGUGGGCCUCUUAGAACAGGUUCAAGACCCUUUGAGGACUGCUUGAACAAUUUAGUUAUUUACUGUAAAAUGAUUCAAAAUUUAGCUUGGCAUUCCAUUGUAUGACCCCAAAAACUGAUACAUAGCCUUUAGACCCCAAAAACAGAUACAUAACCUUUAGACCCCAAAAACAGAUACAUAGCCUUUA
This 432-nucleotide long non-coding RNA is filed under the name Arabidopsis lyrata. RNAcentral's name for it is "long non-coding RNA (ALYR_LNC001006)". The record is from RNAcentral. Lineage: Eukaryota; Viridiplantae; Streptophyta; Magnoliopsida; Brassicales; Brassicaceae.